GAUGAACGCUGGCGGCGUGCCUAAUACAUGCAAGUCGAGCGAACAGACGAGGAGCUUGCUCCUCUGACGUUAGCGGCGGACGGGUGAGUAACACGUGGAUAACCUACCUAUAAGACUGGGAUAACUUCGGGAAACCGGAGCUAAUACCGGAUAAUAUAUUGAACCGCAUGGUUCAAUAGUGAAAGUCGGUUUUGCUGUCACUUAUAGAUGGAUCCGCGCCGCAUUAGCUAGUUGGUAAGGUAACGGCUUACCAAGGCAACGAUGCGUAGCCGACCUGAGAGGGUGAUCGGCCACACUGGAACUGAGACACGGUCCAGACUCCUACGGGAGGCAGCAGUAGGGAAUCUUCCGCAAUGGGCGAAAGCCUGACGGAGCAACGCCGCGUGAGUGAUGAAGGUCUUCGGAUCGUAAAACUCUGUUAUUAGGGAAGAACAAAUGUGUAAGUAACUAUGCACGUCUUGACGGUGCCUAAUCAGAAAGCCACGGCUAACUACGUG
RNAcentral lists this ribosomal RNA (497 nucleotides) under uncultured bacterium. RNAcentral describes it as "partial 16S ribosomal RNA". It matches the Rfam family "Bacterial small subunit ribosomal RNA", at positions 28 to 507 of the family's 1533-position model. The record is from RNAcentral.